ACGAACGCUGGCGGCGUGCUUCACACAUGCCAGUCGCACGGAAAGGCCCUGCUUUUGUGGGGUGCUCGCGUGGCGAACGGGUGAGUAACACGUGAGUAACCUGCCCUUGACUUUGGGAUAACUUCAGGAAACUGGGGCUAAUACCGGAUAGGAGCUCCUGCUGCAUGGUGGGGGUUGGAAAGUUUCGGCGGUUGGGGAUGGACUCGCGGCUUAUCAGCUUGUUGGUGGGGUAGUGGCUUACCAAGGCUUUGACGGGUAGCCGGCCUGAGAGGGUGACCGGCCACAUUGGGACUGAGAUACGGCCCAGACUCCUACGGGAGGCAGCAGUGGGGAAUAUUGCACAAUGGGCGGAAGCCUGAUGCAGCAACGCCGCGUGCGGGAUGACGGCCUUCGGGUUGUAAACCGCUUUCGCCUGUGACGAAGCGUGAGUGACGGUAAUGGGUAAAGAAGCACCGGCUAACUACGUG
This 467-nucleotide ribosomal RNA is filed under the name uncultured bacterium. RNAcentral describes it as "partial 16S ribosomal RNA". It matches the Rfam family "Bacterial small subunit ribosomal RNA", at positions 29 to 507 of the family's 1533-position model. The record is from RNAcentral.